GGGGGCCGAUACACUGUCCGAGA
Molecule: microRNA, 23 nt
Filed under: Echinops telfairi (small Madagascar hedgehog)
Lineage: Eukaryota; Metazoa; Chordata; Mammalia; Afrosoricida; Tenrecidae
Description: Ete-Mir-128-P1_5p* (star (passenger))
Source: RNAcentral